Molecule: ribosomal RNA, 443 nt
Filed under: uncultured bacterium
Lineage: Bacteria
Description: partial 16S ribosomal RNA
Rfam family: Bacterial small subunit ribosomal RNA
Source: RNAcentral
CCUACGGGAGGCAGCAGUGGGGAAUAUUGGGCAAUGGCGGAAACUCUGAACCAGCAAAGCCGCGUGAAUGAUGAAGGUCUUCGGAUUGUAAAGUUCUUUUCUAAGGGGAGAAGAAAGUGACGGUACCUUAGGAAUAAGCCUCGGCGAACUACGUGGCAGCAGCAGCGGUAAGACGGAGGAGGCGAGCGUUAUCCGGAAUGACUGGGCGUAAGGGGUGCGUAGGUGGGUUGGCAAGUGAGUAGCGUAACUCAGAGGCUCAACCUUGGUACUACGUCGAAAACUGUUGGACUUGAGUGCAGGAGGGGCAGGCGGAAUUCCUAGUGUAGCGGUGGAAUGCGUAGAUAUUAGGAGGAACACCAGUGGCGAAGGCGGGUUGCUAGACUGUAACUGACACUGAGGCACGAAAGCGUGGGGAGCAAACAGGAUUAGAUACCCUAGUAGUC